UUGUCAAAAGGGAAACAGCCCAGAUCUACAGCUAAGGUCCCAAAGUCAGGUUAAGUGGAAAACGAUGUGAAGAUACGCAGACAACCAGGAUGUUGGCUCAGAAGCAGCCACUCAUUCAAAGAGUGCGUAAUAGCUCACUGGUCGAGCGUCUUUGCGCGGAGAAUUUAACGGGGCUAAACCUGACACCGAAGCUUAGGCAAUCCAGUAAUGGAUUGGGUAGGGGAGCGUUGUAUACGCGGAGAAACAGUAGCGUAAGCGGCUGUGGAGUGUAUAGAAGUGAGAAUGCCGGAAUGAGUAGCGCGAAUGCAGUGAGAAUCUGCAUGGCCGAAAGCCUCAGGUUUUUGGAGGAAGGUUCGUCCGCUCCAAGUUAGUCGGGAGCUAAGGUGAGGCCGGAAGGCGUAGCCGAUGCACAGACGGUAGAGAUUCCGUCACCACCAAAAGAGUUAAGCACAGGGACACAUUUGAAGUCUCAGAGCCGGGUGUUGGUUCCGGUAGAGAUCGAGGGAAGUUAGUACCGAAGUCUGGGAUGGAAGAUGGCGAGAAAAGCUGUGUGUAUUUCUGAGGUGCCCGUACCGCAAACCGACACAGGUAGGUAGGAAGAAGAUUCUAAGGCCAACGGGAGAAGGGUUGUUAAGGAACUCGGCAAAUUGACCCCGUAACUUCGGGAGAAGGGGUGCUCCAGAGAUGGAGCCGCAGAGAAUCGGCCCAAGCAACUGUUUACCAAAAACACAGGUUUGUGCUAAAUCGAAAGAUGACGUAUACGAGCUGACGCCUGCCCGGUGCUGGAAGGUUAAGAGGAGAUGUGCAAGCAUUGAAUCGAAGCCCCAGUGAACGGCGGCCGUAACUAUAACGGUCCUAAGGUAGCGAAAUUCCUUGUCAGGUAAGUUCUGACCCGCAUGAAAGGCGUAAUGAUUUGGGCACUGUCUCAACAGCCCGCCCGGCGAAAUUGUAGUACCGGUGAAGAUGCCGGUUACCCGCGACAAGACGGAAAGACCCCAUGGAGCUUUACUGUAGCCUAAUAUUGGGUUUCGAUGUUGCAUGCACAGGAUAGAUGGGACACAGGGAAACAAUCGCUUUGGCGGUUGCGGAGUGGCCGUUGGGAUACCAUCCUUGCGAUAUUGGAAUUCUAACCUGCGGCUCUGAAUCGAGUCGGGGGACAUUGUUAGGUGGGCAGUUUGACUGGGGCGGUCGCCUCCUAAAGAGUAACGGAGGCGUUCAAAGGUUCGCUCAGCUUGAACGGAAAUCAAGCAAAAGAGUGCAAACGCAGAAGCGAGCCUAACUGCGAGACUGACGGGUCGAGCAGUAACGAAAGUUGGAGUUAGUGAUCCGGUGGUAUGUGAGUGGAAAUGCCAUCGCUCAACGGAUAAAAGUUACCCUGGGGAUAACAGGCUGAUCUCCCCCAAGAGUCCACAUCGACGGGGAGGUUUGGCACCUCGAUGUCGGCUCAUCGCAUCCUGGGGCUGUAUUCGGUCCCAAGGGUUUGGCUGUUCGCCAAUUAAAGCGGUACGCGAGCUGGGUUCAGAACGUCGUGAGACAGUUCGGUCCCUAUCUGUCGUGGGCGCAGGAUAUUUGAUGGGAGCUGUCCCUAGUACGAGAGGACCGGGACGGACGUACCUCUGGCGCACCAGUUGUUCCGCCAGGAGCAUAGCUGGGCAACUACGUACGGAUCGGAUAAACGCUGAAAGCAUCUAAGCGUGAAGCCGACCCAAAGAUAAGAUGUCCCAUUGUUUUAAACAAGUAAGACCCCUUGAAGACUACAAGGUCGAUAGGCACGAUGUGUAAGUGGAGUGAUCCAUUCAGCAAGCGUGUACUAAUAGGUCGAGGGCUUGACCA
RNAcentral lists this ribosomal RNA (1833 nucleotides) under human gut metagenome. Its description in RNAcentral is "bacterial LSU rRNA". It matches the Rfam family "Bacterial large subunit ribosomal RNA", at positions 1008 to 2925 of the family's 2925-position model. The record is from RNAcentral.